AUGCCUGAUGAAACUGCUCCAACCAGUUCCUCGGUAGCAGAUUCAACAACGACUUCAUCUUUGAAGCUUAUUACUCUUCCUUCUGGAUCAGAAGCGAAGAAGACAAAGGCUGCUGAGAGAGAAGCAAAGAAGAGAAAGGCAUCAGCUCCACCUAUGCCUGAAUCCCUAAAGAAAUUGAAGACGACAACAUUGUCUUCAAUUGUCAUUCCUAUUGCCGCAAUACUAGUCUCAUCAGCACCCCCUACUAGCAAUCUUGAGAAUCUUCAAAUGGUUCCAUAUGGGGUGGAUUAUGAAAUCUCUCAGGCUGAUGAUGAAGAAGAUAGCCAUUCUGUUGCUUCCACAGAGCGAAUGGAUGAACAAAUUGAGGUUGAUGCUAAUGUAUCAAUGCCUCAAGAUACUACUCAUAGUCCUCAGCAAACUCCACUGAUUGAAGAAAAUGAGGAGGAAGUGGAUAUUGAUGGCGAGACUACUCCACCAAUUCAUGACGAAUUUUGGGAAGCAGCUCACCCAAAUUUGCCUCUCACCACUCCCCUCACAAGAGUGCCUCAGUCACCUCAGCGCACUAAAGAAAUUCCUACUGGCUCUGAAGAACAACAACCAUUUCUCAACAACAUUACUGAAGAAAUUCCAGAUGCAACAGCUGAUGAAAUUGCUCAUAAUGACUCUAAUGUUGGAUGUCAUCAAUGCAUCUCCUCCUCGCGCCGAUUCAAUUCCCUCAGGAGAUACAAAUACAGUUCCAACUGCCACAGCGAAAGAAGUUGCUCGUGCCCUUGUCGUCACAGAUCCUAA
RNAcentral lists this ribosomal RNA (789 nucleotides) under Triticum aestivum (bread wheat). RNAcentral describes it as "partial small subunit ribosomal RNA". Lineage: Eukaryota; Viridiplantae; Streptophyta; Magnoliopsida; Poales; Poaceae. The record is from RNAcentral.